GACAGAGGGGGCAAGCGUUGCUCGGAAUUACUGGGCGUAAAGGGCGCGUAGGCGGGAUGGCAAGUCGGGCGUGAAAUCCCUCGGCUCAACCGAGGAACGUCGAUCGAUACUGCUGUUCUUGAGGAUUGCAGAGGAGACUGGAAUUCCCGGUGUAGCGGUGAAAUGUGUAGAGAUCGGGAGGAACACCGGUGGCGAAGGCGGGUCUCUGGGCAAUUCCUGACGCUGAGGCGCGAAAGCGUGGGGAGCAAACGGG
This 253-nucleotide ribosomal RNA is filed under the name uncultured bacterium. RNAcentral describes it as "partial 16S ribosomal RNA". It matches the Rfam family "Bacterial small subunit ribosomal RNA", at positions 524 to 776 of the family's 1533-position model. The record is from RNAcentral.